AUUGAACGCUGGCGGCAGGCCUAACACAUCCAAGUCGAGCGGAUGAAGGGAGCUUGCUCCUGGAUUCAGCGGCGGACGGGUGAGUAAUGCCUAGGAAUCUGCCUGGUAGUGGGGGAUAACGUCCGGAAACGGGCGCUAAUACCGCAUACGUCCUGAGGGAGAAAGUGGGGGAUCUUCGGACCUCACGCUAUCAGAUGAGCCUAGGUCGGAUUAGCUAGUUGGUGGGGUAAAGGCCUACCAAGGCGACGAUCCGUAACUGGUCUGAGAGGAUGAUCAGUCACACUGGAACUGAGACACGGUCCAGACUCCUACGGGAGGCAGCAGUGGGGAAUAUUGGACAAUGGGCGAAAGCCUGAUCCAGCCAUGCCGCGUGUGUGAAGAAGGUCUUCGGAUUGUAAAGCACUUUAAGUUGGGAGGAAGGGCAGUAAGUUAAUACCUUGCUGUUUUGACGUUACCAACAGAAUAAGCACCGGCUAACUUCGUG
Molecule: ribosomal RNA, 484 nt
Filed under: uncultured bacterium
Lineage: Bacteria
Description: partial 16S ribosomal RNA
Rfam family: Bacterial small subunit ribosomal RNA
Source: RNAcentral